CAGAACACUAAGAUGUGAAUUAGGGGACCUGAGUUAGAGUUUCUAUUCUGUUGCUUACAAGAUUUUGAAUCAUGGCCCCGAGAUUCUAGGAUUUCCCAAUGUUCAAGAUGGCAGAGAAGCACUUUUCUUUGACAGAAAUCUGGGUAUUUCUUCUUGUGAAAUAAGCAGUUCAUUUUUCUUCAUCAAAAGACUGGCAGCUAGCAAGUUUCACUCUGAGACAAAAAGCUCGUAGCACGAUCACAUGAUCAUCACCCUUGAGUUCCAUGAGAAAAAUCAGAGGUUCCCAAAGAAGUAAUGUGAUUUGCCCAAGAACACAUGACUGCAAGUCCAAUAUAUACUGCAGCUGUCAUUCCCAUUUUAGAGAUAAGAAAACUGAGGCUGGCAGAAGUGAGCAAGUAAAGCUACUUACUAGCAAGUAAGAGAGCUAGAAGCUGAUCUCUAUGUUGCUGGCUCUAGAACCAGAGCCCCUUCCAUUGCAUAACUCAUAGAAGGCUCCAAGCCUUUUCUGAAGCCAUGAAAGAAUCUCCUCUUCCCCUGAAAAAUGCCAGCUCAGGUCUCAAGGCUCCUAAUGGGCUUUCGAUACAUGAACACCUGCUUAAAAUUAUCUUUAGAUGCUUAACAAAACUGAAAUUAUGCUUUUUAAGAAUAAUUCCUGGCGUUUGAAAUUCCACCCACAGCCUCCAAUGAGGAGAGUUGUAAUGAUUACAGCUCACACUUAGGUGCUGAAUUGUGGCCACUGGGCACAUUGCGCACUUUAGAAUAACUCACAUUUGAUCACUCAGAAAACAUAUAUUAAGCACCUAUUAGAUACAAGCCCUUGUACUCAAGUACUGGGAAUAUAAAAAAAAAAAAGAUAAAACACAGAUGCCACCCUCCAGGAACUUACAGUGGAAUGAGGGAAAGAUGCAAACAGUCACAGGGAUACAGGGGAGGGUGAGGUAAGUGGGGGAGCUGUCCAGGAACUGUGUACUGAGAAAUAUUAGGAGGGAGAGGAGAUUUGUGCUUGGGUGAUGGAGUGAAGAGGAAUAGCAGGCUGCUUGGGGAACAUGCCAUCUAAGUUGCAUCUUGAAGGAACGGAAUGAUGUUGGCAGAUGUUUAUGGAGGUGGGGGUGGGAGAGGUGAAGAAAUUCAUUCCAGAUAUGCAGGACCACACAAGAAAAGGUGAAGAAGCAGGGGAGAACAGGAUAAGAAUAGGAAAUGGGGAAUAGUCCUGUGUGGUUGGAAAGAGUGAUUAUAUAAUGGAGUAAUAUACAUCUAGGAAAAAAGCCUUACACUGUGGGGAGCUUUAAGUACGAAUGAGAGUUUGAUCUCAAUUCAUUAGGUAACCGGCAAUCAUAAGAGAUUUUUGAGCAAGGUGGUGGUAUGAUCUGAGUGGUGAAUUAGAAAGAUGAUAUGUAUCCACUGCAAUAAGACAAUUGCAGAUGGCAGAUACCAGAAUCAGAAAGACCAUUUAGCACAACAUUACAACAGUCAAGACAAUAAAAACAACAACAAUAAUAGCUAACAUUUAUAUAGUGAUGUAAGGUUUAUAAAUCCUUUUACACAUAUUAACGCACUCAGUUAGG
This is a non-coding RNA of Phascolarctos cinereus (koala), 1565 nucleotides long. The record is from RefSeq and is a predicted model, not a curated record. Lineage: Eukaryota; Metazoa; Chordata; Mammalia; Diprotodontia; Phascolarctidae.